Gambusia affinis (western mosquitofish) is the source of this 603-nucleotide long non-coding RNA. RefSeq lists it as uncharacterized. The transcript has 4 exons. The record is from RefSeq and is a predicted model, not a curated record. NCBI's taxonomy places the organism in Eukaryota, Metazoa, Chordata, Actinopteri, Cyprinodontiformes, Poeciliidae.
GAAACGGGUGAUGCAUGCUGGGAUAGCUCAGGCCAGAAGCUAGGAGAGGGUAAUAAUCACAUCUAAUGUGGUGAUAAAUGGGCCAAAACGUUUUUAAUCAAAGUCAAUUUAUCAUCAUUAGUCGGGAUUAAGCCGUUGUGGAUGAAAUCUUGCUGCCGAGGACACGGAAAGGCUUUAUUUAAGUUUCAUUCUCGACUAUUUGGUAGGAAGUGGUCGUGUCAUUAUUCUCUCUGGUCCCGUAAGCAGCUUGUUCUUCCGCCUCCAGCCGUCUGUAGCGGGUCUGGAAGAAGACGAGGAAGCAGCAGGUGAAAACACUGGACAGUCCUGCCAUCACCAUUAUGGGCACUGAGGAGAGAAGAAGCAAACAUCUCAUGAAAAAAAUAAAACAAAAAAAAAGGAUUAGAACUGUGUCUCCGCAGGUGGAGAAUGGAGAUUCAGUGAUCGGUUUGGUCAAAGCCUGCAGCAGGAGGAUGUAAAUGACCGACUGCACCUGCCUGCAAGACGGAAACAGAAAUCACUUUCACCUCAAUACGAAACUCACAGACGCUAAUCAACGUUCAUUUCAUUAAAACAAAAUAAAACACAAUAAAGAUGUAUAAUUUA